This 450-nucleotide ribosomal RNA is filed under the name uncultured bacterium. RNAcentral describes it as "partial 16S ribosomal RNA". It matches the Rfam family "Bacterial small subunit ribosomal RNA", at positions 29 to 523 of the family's 1533-position model. The record is from RNAcentral.
AGCGAACGCUGGCGGCAGGCCUAACACAUGCAAGUCGAACGAACUCUUCGGAGUUAGUGGCGGACGGGUGAGUAACACGUGGGAACGUGCCUUUAGGUUCGGAAUAACUCAGGGAAACUUGUGCUAAUACCGAAUGUGCCCUUCGGGGGAAAGAUUUAUCGCCUUUAGAGCGGCCCGCGUCUGAUUAGCUAGUUGGUUGGGGUAAUGGUCCACCAAGGCGACGAUCAGUAGCUGGUCUGAGAGGAUGACCAGCCACAUUGGGACUGAGACACGGCCCAAACUCCUACGGGAGGCAGCAGUGGGGAAUCUUGCGCAAUGGGCGAGAGCCUGACGCAGCCAUGCCGCGUGUAUGAUGAAGGUCUUAGGAUUGUGAAAUACUUUCACCGGUGAAGAUAAUGACUGUAGCCGGAGAAGAAGCCCCGGCUAACUUCGUGCCAGCCGCCGCGGUAA